RNAcentral lists this long non-coding RNA (265 nucleotides) under Lathyrus oleraceus (garden pea). Its description in RNAcentral is "Pisum sativum (pea) long non-coding RNA (PSAT_LNC010177)". The record is from RNAcentral. Lineage: Eukaryota; Viridiplantae; Streptophyta; Magnoliopsida; Fabales; Fabaceae.
AAAACAGCGGCGUCCAUUACAACAAUUCAGAGUAUCCAGGCAGACUUAAGUUACAUGCAAAACCUCAAAUAUAUUUAUGAAUCUCAAUUAUGAUAUCACAUGUGAAUUAGGAACAUAAAGUGAUAAUAGUAACGCAAACCUGUUUGCACUCGAGUCGCAACCUUGAAUUGGCCGAUCGGAUAGACUUGAGCGGAGGUGACCUUGCUGUAAAACACAAUGCCUAAGCUGCUGGAAAAGAAGAAAAAAAUGCAAAGGCGAAAACGGC